AUGACGUCAAGCCUCAUGGCCGUUUAUGCUUAGGGCUACACACGUGCUACAAUGGGUGGUACAAAGAGAAGCCAACUCGCGAGAGCGCGCCAAUCUCAAAAAGCCAUCCUCAGUUCGGAUUGGAGUCUGCAACUCGACUCCAUGAAGUUGGAAUCGCUAGUAAUCGCGGAUCAGCAUGCCGCGGUGAAUACGCUUCCCGGGCCUU
RNAcentral lists this ribosomal RNA (205 nucleotides) under uncultured Smithella sp. RNAcentral describes it as "partial 16S ribosomal RNA". It matches the Rfam family "Bacterial small subunit ribosomal RNA", at positions 1179 to 1382 of the family's 1533-position model. The record is from RNAcentral. Lineage: Bacteria; Pseudomonadati; Thermodesulfobacteriota; Syntrophia; Syntrophales; Smithellaceae.